GAGGAAUGUAUAGCAAUAGCUACUUGCAUCAUUGUAAUGAUGAUGCAAGCUCGACUAUGUUGAAUAAAAUUCUAGGUAGAAUUAUGAUAAUGACAUUGUCUGCCUAUGUGUCUUGACCAAAUUACGUGCCAGCAGUCGCGGUAAUACGUAGAAGACUAGCGUUAUUCAUGUUUAAUCGGUUUAAAGGGUACCUAGACGGUAAAUAAAGCUUUCAAAUAACAGAUAUAAGCCUGUGAGGCAGAACAAUCUGAUUAAAAGGACUAAUUUACUAGAGUUACUUAUGAGGGGGCAUUAAAGUACUGCUGGUGUAGAGAUGAAAUUCUUUUAUACCUAUUCUGUAUGGGGACAUAUGGCACAGGUAUAGGCGAAGGCAUCCCCUUAUGUGAUAACUGACGUUGAAGGACGAAGGCUUGUAUAGCGAACAGGAUUAGAUACCCUAGUAGUCGAAGCAGAAAAUGAUGAAUGUCAUAGAUUAGAUGUAUAAGUUUAUUCUAUAAAUGAAAGUGUAAGCAUUCCACCUCAUGAGUAAUUUGGCAACAUUGGAACUGAAAUCAUUAGACCGUAUCUGAAACCAG
This 575-nucleotide ribosomal RNA is filed under the name Relicina sydneyensis. RNAcentral describes it as "SSU rRNA". It matches the Rfam family "Bacterial small subunit ribosomal RNA", at positions 356 to 929 of the family's 1533-position model. The record is from RNAcentral. Lineage: Eukaryota; Fungi; Ascomycota; Lecanoromycetes; Lecanorales; Parmeliaceae.